Molecule: ribosomal RNA, 253 nt
Filed under: uncultured bacterium
Lineage: Bacteria
Description: partial 16S ribosomal RNA
Rfam family: Bacterial small subunit ribosomal RNA
Source: RNAcentral
GACAGAGGGUGCGAGCGUUAAUCGGAGUGACUGGGCGUAAAGGGCGCGUAGGCGGUUGUAAGGGUCUGAUGUGAAAUGUCUGGGCUUAACCUGGGAUGUGCAUUGGAAACUGUAUGACUAGAGUCUAGGAGAGGAGAGUGGAAUUUCCGGUGUAGCGGUGAAAUGCGUAGAUAUCGGAAGGAACAUCAGUGGCGAAAGCGGCUUCCUGGACCAGUACCGACGUUCAGGCACGAAAGCGUGGGGAGCAAACAGG